Etheostoma cragini (Arkansas darter) is the source of this 403-nucleotide long non-coding RNA. RefSeq lists it as uncharacterized. NCBI's taxonomy places the organism in Eukaryota, Metazoa, Chordata, Actinopteri, Perciformes, Percidae. The transcript has 3 exons. The record is from RefSeq and is a predicted model, not a curated record.
AAACAUUAGUGACAGCCUCGUUUGGCUUAAUUAUUAAGGUCGUUAGCAUCCUCGCUAACACUAUUGUUACUUAGUUUAUGACAAAUCGUCUUGACUGUGCUUUCUAACAUGAUGUCAUUGUGCUAACCAAGAAUCGUUACAACAGAGCCGCUUGUUAGAUAAUGUUUCAUUACAGAAUUCUCUGUUGAUUUGUGUUUUAUGAUGCUGUGUGUUUGUAGUGGAAAAUGAAUGUAAACAAAGUGGUGUGCUAGAAACGCAAUGCGCCAUGACGUAGAUCCCCUAUCAAAAUUAGGCUGAUGUUGGAAGUCCCUCUAGUGGACACAACGUGUAACAACAACCACAUGCUUAUAGUGGCAUUGACAAUACAUAUGCCUCAGUAGUAUUUUAGAUUAAUGUUCAACUA